This 628-nucleotide long non-coding RNA is filed under the name Olea europaea subsp. europaea. The record is from RNAcentral. Lineage: Eukaryota; Viridiplantae; Streptophyta; Magnoliopsida; Lamiales; Oleaceae.
UGGAAAAUGUUUACAAGAGAAAAUUGUACACAUAAUUUCUCUAACCUUUCUCUCUUUCAUUUAUGAUAGCGAUUUAAAAAGACUAAUAAUGACUCCCUAUUUAUAAGACAAAUUAUGGCAAAACCCAAAUUUACAAGGACUCAAAUUUCAAAGAUUAAAUUUAUGAGGGCUCAAAUUCCUAAAUUGCCCUUAAUGAAAUUUUGGUCAAUUCAUGUAAAUGCUCCGCAAAUCGACAAUAAUAAGCUCCACAACUUAACAUGUGCUUGACCUGAGAUUUGUGAAUGAAUAUUAUGAAGCUUCGGAGAAUAAUUAUAACGUCACUUUUGUUUUUAUAAUUUUUGUUGAAGUUAGAAAUUCAUGGCAACGUAUCGCGAGCUUAAUUUCUUUAUUCUCAUUCUCUCUAAUAUUCCAGGACAUUGAUGGCUUUUAAGCAAAUGAAGUGGAAUUUGAUAUGUUAAAGAGUUUUUAGUGAUUAUUGCGAAUGUAACUCUGUUUCUGCCAUGUUGGGCUUUGCAAUUAGAACUGGUCUGGUUUCAUCAUGAGAAUGAUCUAGACAAAUUUACACUGUACAUUUUUAUCCUGUGGUACUAGGAAGAACAAACAACAAGGUCAUUUGCUAUAAUGAUAA